UAUACUGUGAAACUGCGAAUGGCUCAUUAAAUCAGUUAUCGUUUAUUUGAUAGUACCUUACUACUUGGAUAACCGUGGUAAUUCUAGAGCUAAUACAUGCUAAAAACCGCGACUUCGGAAGCGGUGUAUUUAUUAGAUAAAAAACCAAUGCCCUUCGGGGCUCCUUGGUGAUUCAUGAUAACUUAACGAAUCGCAUGGCCUUGCGCCGGCGAUGGUUCAUUCAAAUUUCUGCCCUAUCAACUUUCGAUGGUAGGAUAGUGGCCUACCAUGGUAUCAACGGGUAACGGGGAAUUAGGGUUCUAUUCCGGAGAGGGAGCCUGAGAAACGGCUACCACAUCCAAGGAAGGCAGCAGGCGCGCAAAUUACCCAAUCCCGACACGGGGAGGUAGUGACAAUAAAUACUGAUACAGGGCUCUUUUGGGUCUUGUAAUUGGAAUGAGUACAAUUUAAAUACCUUAACGAGGAACAAUUGGAGGGCAAGUCUGGUGCCAGCAGCCGCGGUAAUUCCAGCUCCAAUAGCGUAUAUUAAAGUUGUUGCAGUUAAAAAGCUCGUAGUUGAACCUUGGGCCUGGCUGGCCGGUCCGCCUCACCGCGUGUACUGGUCCGGCCGGGCCUUUCCUUCUGGGGAUCCGCAUGCCCUUCACUGGGUGUGUCGGGGAACCAGGACUUUUACUUUGAAAAAAUUAGAGUGUUCAAAGCAGGCCUUUGCUCGAAUACAUUAGCAUGGAAUAAUAGAAUAGGACGUGCGGUCCUAUUUUGUUGGUUUCUAGGACCGCCGUAAUGAUUAAUAGGGAUAGUCGGGGGCAUCAGUAUUCAAUUGUCAGAGGUGAAAUUCUUGGAUUUAUUGAAGACUAACUACUGCGAAAGCAUUUGCCAAGGAUGUUUUCAUUAAUCAGUGAACGAAAGUUAGGGGAUCGAAGACGAUCAGAUACCGUCGUAGUCUUAACCGUAAACUAUGCCGACUAGGGAUCGGUCGAUGUUAUUCUUUUGACUCGCUC
Molecule: ribosomal RNA, 998 nt
Filed under: Macrophomina phaseolina
Lineage: Eukaryota; Fungi; Ascomycota; Dothideomycetes; Botryosphaeriales; Botryosphaeriaceae
Description: SSU rRNA
Rfam family: Eukaryotic small subunit ribosomal RNA
Source: RNAcentral